RNAcentral lists this ribosomal RNA (559 nucleotides) under uncultured bacterium. RNAcentral describes it as "bacterial SSU rRNA". It matches the Rfam family "Bacterial small subunit ribosomal RNA", at positions 119 to 674 of the family's 1533-position model. The record is from RNAcentral.
CGGAACGUGCCCGAGAGUGGGGGAUAACGGAGCGAAAGCUUUGCUAAUACCGCAUACGAUCUACGGAUGAAAGCAGGGGACCGCAAGGCCUUGCGCUCAUGGAGCGGCCGAUGGCAGAUUAGGUAGUUGGUGGGAUAAAAGCUUACCAAGCCGACGAUCUGUAGCUGGUCUGAGAGGACGACCAGCCACACUGGGACUGAGACACGGCCCAGACUCCUACGGGAGGCAGCAGUGGGGAAUUUUGGACAAUGGGCGCAAGCCUGAUCCAGCCAUGCCGCGUGCAGGAUGAAGGCCUUCGGGUUGUAAACUGCUUUUGUACGGAACGAAAAGCCUCGGGCUAAUAUCCUGGGGUCAUGACGGUACCGUAAGAAUAAGCACCGGCUAACUACGUGCCAGCAGCCGCGGUAAUACGUAGGGUGCAAGCGUUAAUCGGAAUUACUGGGCGUAAAGCGUGCGCAGGCGGUAAUGUAAGACAGAUGUGAAAUCCCCGGGCUCAACCUGGGAACUGCAUUUGUGACUGCAUUGCUGGAGUACGGCAGAGGGGGAUGGAAUUCCGCGU